GCCGGUGCUAGUCCUUGAUGGAGGUGUUAGUGCCGGGGAUAGUCCUUGAUGGAGGUGUUAGUGCCGGGGCUAGUCCUUGAUGGAGGUGGUGGUGCCGGGGAUAGUCCUUGAUGGAGGUGUUAGUGCCGGGGCUAGUCCUUGAUGGAGGUGUUAGUGCCGGGGCUAGUCCUUGAUGGAGGUGUUAGUGCCGGGGCUAGUCCUUGAUGGAGGUGGUGGUGCCGGGGCUAGUCCUUGAUGGAGGUGUUAGUGCCGGGGCUAGUCCUUGAUGGAGUUGGUGGUGCCGGUGCUAGUCCUUGAUGGAGGUGGUGGUGCUGGGGCUAGUCAUUGAUGGAGGUGCCGGUGCUAGUCCUUGAUGGAGG
Molecule: long non-coding RNA, 359 nt
Organism: Oncorhynchus tshawytscha (Chinook salmon)
Lineage: Eukaryota; Metazoa; Chordata; Actinopteri; Salmoniformes; Salmonidae
Source: Ensembl